AGCGUACACGGUGGAUGCCCUGGCAGUCAGAGGCGAUGAAGGACGUGCUAAUCUGCGAAAAGCGCCGGCGAGGUGAUAUGAACCUUUGACCCGGCGAUGUCCGAAUGGGGAAACCCAGUGUGUUCCGACACACUAUCGUUAACUGAAUACAUAGGUUAACGAGGCGAACCGGGGGAACUGAAACAUCUAAGUACCCCGAGGAAAAGAAAUCAACCGAGAUUCCCCCAGUAGCGGCGAGCGAACGGGGAGCAGCCCAGAGUCUGAAUCAGCUUGUGUGUUAGUGGAAGCGUCUGGAAAGUCGCACGGUACAGGGUGACAGUCCCGUACACGAAAGCACACAGGUUGUGAACUCGAAGAGUAGGGCGGGACACGUGGUAUCCUGUCUGAAUAUGGGGGGACCAUCCUCCAAGGCUAAAUACUCCUGACUGACCGAUAGUGAACCAGUACCGUGAGGGAAAGGCGAAAAGAACCCCGGCGAGGGGAGUGAAAAAGAACCUGAAACCGUGUACGUACAAGCAGUGGGAGCACCUUCGUGGUGUGACUGCGUACCUUUUGUAUAAUGGGUCAGCGACUUAUAUUCUGUAGCAAGGUUAACCGUAUAGGGGAGCCGAAGGGAAACCGAGUCUUAACUGGGCGUUAAGUUGCAGGGUAUAGACCCGAAACCCGGUGAUCUAGCCAUGGGCAGGUUGAAGGUUGGGUAACACUAACUGGAGGACCGAACCGACUAAUGUUGAAAAAUUAGCGGAUGACUUGUGGCUGGGGGUGAAAGGCCAAUCAAACCGGGAGAUAGCUGGUUCUCCCCGAAAGCUAUUUAGGUAGCGCCUCGUGAACUCAUCUUCGGGGGUAGAGCACUGUUUCGGCUAGGGGGCCAUCCCGGCUUACCAACCCGAUGCAAACUACGAAUACCGAAGAAUGUUAUCACGGGAGACACACGGCGGGUGCUAACGUCCGUCGUGAAGAGGGAAACAACCCAGACCGCCAGCUAAGGUCCCAAAGUCAUGGUUAAGUGGGAAACGAUGUGGGAAGGCACAGACAGCCAGGAUGUUGGCUUAGAAGCAGCCAUCAUUUAAAGAAAGCGUAAUAGCUCACUGGUCGAGUCGGCCUGCGCGGAAGAUGUAACGGGGCUAAACCAUGCACCGAAGCUGCGGCAGCGACGCUUAUGCGUUGUUGGGUAGGGGAGCGUUCUGUAAGCCGUUGAAGGUGGCCUGUGAGGGUUGCUGGAGGUAUCAGAAGUGCGAAUGCUGACAUAAGUAACGAUAAAGCGGGUGAAAAGCCCGCUCGCCGGAAGACCAAGGGUUCCUGUCCAACGUUAAUCGGGGCAGGGUGAGUCGACCCCUAAGGCGAGGCCGAAAGGCGUAGUCGAUGGGAAACAGGUUAAUAUUCCUGUACUUGGUGUUACUGCGAAGGGGGGACGGAGAAGGCUAUGUUAGCCGGGCGACGGUUGUCCCGGUUUAAGCAUGUAGGCGGAACGAUUAGGUAAAUCCGGUCGUUUUUUAACGCUGAGGUGUGAUGACGAGGCACUACGGUGCUGAAGUAACAAAUGCCCUGCUUCCAGGAAAAGCCUCUAAGCAUCAGGUAACAUCAAAUCGUACCCCAAACCGACACAGGUGGUCAGGUAGAGAAUACCAAGGCGCUUGAGAGAACUCGGGUGAAGGAACUAGGCAAAAUGGUGCCGUAACUUCGGGAGAAGGCACGCUGAUAUGUAGGUGAAGCCCCUGCGGGUGGAGCUGAAAUCAGUCGAAGAUACCAGCUGGCUGCAACUGUUUAUUAAAAACACAGCACUGUGCAAACACGAAAGUGGACGUAUACGGUGUGACGCCUGCCCGGUGCCGGAAGGUUAAUUGAUGGGGUUAGCGGCAACGCGAAGCUCUUGAUCGAAGCCCCGGUAAACGGCGGCCGUAACUAUAACGGUCCUAAGGUAGCGAAAUUCCUUGUCGGGUAAGUUCCGACCUGCACGAAUGGCGUAAUGAUGGCCAGGCUGUCUCCACCCGAGACUCAGUGAAAUUGAACUCGCUGUGAAGAUGCAGUGUACCCGCGGCAAGACGGAAAGACCCCGUGAACCUUUACUAUAGCUUGACACUGAACACUGGUCCUUGAUGUGUAGGAUAGGUGGGAGGCUUUGAAGCGUGGACGCCAGUCUGCGUGGAGCCGUCCUUGAAAUACCACCCUUUAAUGGCUGGUGUUCUAACGUAGACCCGUAAUCCGGGUUGCGGACAGUGUCUGGUGGGUAGUUUGACUGGGGCGGUCUCCUCCCAAAGAGUAACGGAGGAGCACGAAGGUUAGCUAAUCCUGGUCGGACAUCAGGAGGUUAGUGCAAUGGCAUAAGCUAGCUUGACUGCGAGAGUGACGGCUCGAGCAGGUGCGAAAGCAGGUCAUAGUGAUCCGGUGGUUCUGAAUGGAAGGGCCAUCGCUCAACGGAUAAAAGGUACUCCGGGGAUAACAGGCUGAUACCGCCCAAGAGUUCAUAUCGACGGCGGUGUUUGGCACCUCGAUGUCGGCUCAUCACAUCCUGGGGCUGAAGUAGGUCCCAAGGGUAUGGCUGUUCGCCAUUUAAAGUGGUACGCGAGCUGGGUUUAGAACGUCGUGAGACAGUUCGGUCCCUAUCUGCCGUGGGCGCUGGAGAAUUGAGGGGGGCUGCUCCUAGUACGAGAGGACCGGAGUGGACGCAUCACUGGUGUUCGGGUUGUCAUGCCAAUGGCACUGCCCGGUAGCUAAAUGCGGAAAAGAUAAGUGCUGAAAGCAUCUAAGCACGAAACUUGCCCCGAGAUGAGUUCU
RNAcentral lists this ribosomal RNA (2775 nucleotides) under Enterobacter cloacae. Its description in RNAcentral is "bacterial LSU rRNA". It matches the Rfam family "Bacterial large subunit ribosomal RNA". The record is from RNAcentral. Lineage: Bacteria; Pseudomonadati; Pseudomonadota; Gammaproteobacteria; Enterobacterales; Enterobacteriaceae.